AUUGAACGCUGGCGGCAGGCUUAACACAUGCAAGUCGAGCGGGGUGAUGGUGCUUGCACUAUCACUUAGCGGCGGACGGGUGAGUAAUGCUUAGGAAUCUACCUAUUAGUGGGGGACAACAUCUCGAAAGGGAUGCUAAUACCGCAUACGUCCUACGGGAGAAAGCAGGGGAUCACUUGUGACCUUGCGCUACUAGAUGAGCCUAAGUCGGAUUAGCUAGUUGGUGGGGUAAAGGCCUACCAAGGCGACGAUCUGUAGCGGGUCGGAGAGGAUGAUCCGCCACACUGGGACUGAGCCACGGCCCAGACUCCUCCGGGAGGCAGCGGUGGGGAAUAUUGGACAAUGGGGGGAACCCUGAUCCAGCCAUGCCGCGUGUGUGAAGAAGGCCUUAUGGUUGUAAAGCACUUUAAGCGAGGAGGAGGCUCUUUUGGUUAAUACCCAAGAUGAGUGGACGUUACUCGCAGAAUAAGCACCGGCUAACUCUGUGCCAGCCGCCGCCGCGG
RNAcentral lists this ribosomal RNA (503 nucleotides) under uncultured bacterium. Its description in RNAcentral is "partial 16S ribosomal RNA". It matches the Rfam family "Bacterial small subunit ribosomal RNA", at positions 30 to 523 of the family's 1533-position model. The record is from RNAcentral.